UCCUACGGGACGCAGCGGGGAAUAUUGCACAAUGGGCGAAAGCCUGAUGCAGCAACGCCGCGUGAAGGAAGAAGGCCUUCGGGUCGUAAACUUCUGUCCUUGGGGAAGAAGAACUGACGGUACCCAAGGAGGAAGCCCCGGCUAACUACGUGCCAGCGGCCGCGGUAAUACGUAGGUGGCAAGCGUUGUUCGGAAUUACUGGGUGUAAAGGGAGCGUAGGCGGGAAAGCAAGUUGAAUGUUUAAGGAACGGGCUCAACCUGUACAAGCGUUCAAAACUGUUUUUCUUGAGUGGAGUAGC
RNAcentral lists this ribosomal RNA (299 nucleotides) under uncultured bacterium. RNAcentral's name for it is "partial 16S ribosomal RNA". It matches the Rfam family "Bacterial small subunit ribosomal RNA", at positions 337 to 655 of the family's 1533-position model. The record is from RNAcentral.